UCUUCGGGAUAGGUAGUAGUUAAGGUGAUGGCUUAACUAGCUUAAAAUUCUCGUAGUCGAAGCUGAAAGGUUGAUCGACCACAUUGGGUCUGAAAAAACCCCAAUGCAAGUUAGUACAGCAGUGAGGAAUCUUGGUCAAUGGCCUAACGGCUGAACUGGCAACUUGGAGAAGUGGCAAGUCUUAUUUUUGAUUAUAAUUUUAGAUAAUCUAUAAGAUUGUAUUAAAAUUGAAUAAAGCUUUGUUUAUAUAUUGAUAAUGACAAUAUAUAUAUCGUGUCUUGACUAAUUACGUGCCAGCAGUCGCGGUAAUACGUAAGAGACUAGUGUUAUUCAUCUUAAUUAGGUUUAAAGGGUACCUAGACGGUCAAUAUAGCUUCUAGAAUGUUAGUACUUGACUAGAGUUUGAUGUAAGGGGGCAGUACUUGAGGAGGAGAGAUGAAAUUCUAUUAUACCAAAGGGACUCGGUAAAGGCGAAGGCAGCCCUUUAUGUAAAACUGACGUUGAAGGACGAAGGCACAGAGCACAAACAGGAUUAGAUACCCAAGUAGUCUUUGCAGUAAAUGAUGAAUGCCAUAGGUUAGAUUAA
Molecule: ribosomal RNA, 586 nt
Filed under: Moelleriella turbinata
Lineage: Eukaryota; Fungi; Ascomycota; Sordariomycetes; Hypocreales; Clavicipitaceae
Description: SSU rRNA
Rfam family: Bacterial small subunit ribosomal RNA
Source: RNAcentral